This 253-nucleotide ribosomal RNA is filed under the name uncultured bacterium. RNAcentral describes it as "partial 16S ribosomal RNA". It matches the Rfam family "Bacterial small subunit ribosomal RNA", at positions 524 to 776 of the family's 1533-position model. The record is from RNAcentral.
UACGAAGGGGGCGAGCGUUGUUCGGAUUUACUGGGCGUAAAGGGCGCGCAGGCGGCUCAUUUUGUCAGGCGUGAAAGCCCCGGGCUUAACCUGGGAACUGCGUUUGAGACGGAUGGGCUAGAGUUCGGGAGAGGAGAGUGGAAUUCCCAGUGUAGAGGUGAAAUUCGUAGAUAUUCGCAAGAACACCAGUGGCGAAGGCGGCUCACUGGCCCGGUACUGACGCUGAGGUGCGAAAGCGUGGGGAGCAAACAGG